UACGUAGGGGGCGAGCGUUAUCCAGAUUUACUGGGCGUAAAGCGCGUGUAGGCGGCUGGUUAGGUGUGAUGUGAAAUCCUCGGGCUCAACCCGAGAACUGCAUUGCAAACCGGCCUGGCUAGAGUGCAGGAGAGGGAAGCGGAAUUCCAGGUGUAGCGGUGAAAUUCGUAGAUAUUCGGAGGAACACCAGUGGCGAAGGCGGCUCACUGGUCCAUUACUGACGCUGAGGUGCGAAAGCGUGGGGAGCAAACAGG
This 254-nucleotide ribosomal RNA is filed under the name uncultured bacterium. Its description in RNAcentral is "partial 16S ribosomal RNA". It matches the Rfam family "Bacterial small subunit ribosomal RNA", at positions 524 to 776 of the family's 1533-position model. The record is from RNAcentral.